Molecule: ribosomal RNA, 871 nt
Filed under: uncultured bacterium
Lineage: Bacteria
Description: bacterial SSU rRNA
Rfam family: Bacterial small subunit ribosomal RNA
Source: RNAcentral
CUUGUUUGAUCCUGGCUCAGGAUGAACGCUGGCGGCGCGCCUAACACAUGCAAGUCGAACGGCACCCAUCUUCGGAUGGAAGCGAGUGGCGAACGGCUGAGUAACACGUGGAGAACCUGCCCCCUCCCCCGGGAUAGCCGCCCGAAAGGACGGGUAAUACCGGAUACCCCGGGGUGCCGCAUGGCACCCCGGCUAAAGCCCCGACGGGAGGGGAUGGCUCCGCGGCCCAUCAGGUAGACGGCGGGGUGACGGCCCACCGUGCCGACAACGGGUAGCCGGGUUGAGAGACCGACCGGCCAGAUUGGGACUGAGACACGGCCCAGACUCCUACGGGAGGCAGCAGUGGGGAAUCUUGCGCAAUGGGGGGAACCCUGACGCAGCGACGCCGCGUGCGGGACGGAGGCCUUCGGGUCGUAAACCGCUUUCAGCAGGGAAGAGUCAAGACUGUACCUGCAGAAGAAGCCCCGGCUAACUACGUGCCAGCAGCCGCGGUAAUACGUAGGGGGCGAGCGUUAUCCGGAUUCAUUGGGCGUAAAGCGCGCGUAGGCGGCCCGGCAGGCCGGGGGUCGAAGCGGGGGGCUCAACCCCCCGAAGCCCCCGGAACCUCCGCGGCUUGGGUCCGGUAGGGGAGGGUGGAACACCCGGUGUAGCGGUGGAAUGCGCAGAUAUCGGGUGGAACACCGGUGGCGAAGGCGGCCCUCUGGGCCGAGACCGACGCUGAGGCGCGAAAGCUGGGGGAGCGAACAGGAUUAGAUACCCUGGUAGUCCCAGCCGUAAACGAUGGACGCUAGGUGUGGGGGGACGAUCCCCCCGGGCCGCAGCCAACGCAUUAAGCGUCCCGCCUGGGGAGUACGGCCGCAAGGCUAAAACU